This 465-nucleotide ribosomal RNA is filed under the name uncultured bacterium. RNAcentral's name for it is "partial 16S ribosomal RNA". It matches the Rfam family "Bacterial small subunit ribosomal RNA", at positions 28 to 507 of the family's 1533-position model. The record is from RNAcentral.
GACGAACGCUGGCGGCGUGCUUAACACAUGCAAGUCGAACGGAAAGGCCCCUUUGGGGGUACUCGAGUGGCGAACGGGUGCGUAACACGUGAGUAACCUGCCCUUGACUUCGGGAUAACUUCAGGAAACUGGGGCUAAUACCGGAUAGGAAUCCUUGCUGCAUGGUGGGGGUUGGAAAGCUUCGGCGGUUUUGGAUGGACUCGCGGCUUAUCAGCUUGUUGGUGGGGUAGUGGCUUACCAAGGCUUUGACGGGUAGCCGGCCUGAGAGGGCGACCGGCCACAUUGGGACUGAGAUACGGCCCAGACUCCUACGGGAGGCAGCAGUGGGGAAUAUUGCACAAGGGGCGGAAGCCUGAUGCAGCAACGCCGCGGGCGGGAUGACGGCCUUCGGGUUGUAAACCGCUUUCAGCAGGGGCGAAGCUUGUGGUGACGGUACCUGCAGAAGAAGCACCGGCUAACUACGUG